GUCCUUGCCUUAAACUAUGUAUACUUGGCGUAGUCGGACUCAACCCCGACUGUGCCGAAGCGAACGCGAUAAGUAUACCGCCUGGGAAGUACACUCGCAAGGGUGAAACUCAAAAGAAUUGACGGGGACCCCGCACAAGCAGUGGAGCAUGUGGUUUAAUUCGAUGCAACGCGAAGAACCUUACCUGGUCUUGACAUGAACCUGAUCGCUUCAGAGAUGAAGCUUUCCCGCAAGGGACAGGUACACAGGUGCUGCAUGGCUGUCGU
Molecule: ribosomal RNA, 266 nt
Filed under: uncultured bacterium
Lineage: Bacteria
Description: partial 16S ribosomal RNA
Rfam family: Bacterial small subunit ribosomal RNA
Source: RNAcentral